GGUAAAAUGGCUGAGGAAAAGCAAUAAACUGUAAAUUUAUGAACGAAAUAAUAAUUUCUUUUACCA
RNAcentral lists this transfer RNA (66 nucleotides) under Chrysomeloidea sp. 3 KM-2017. RNAcentral describes it as "tRNA-Tyr". It matches the Rfam family "tRNA". From Rfam's summary of the family: Transfer RNA (tRNA) molecules are approximately 80 nucleotides in length. Their secondary structure includes four short double-helical elements and three loops (D, anti-codon, and T loops). Lineage: Eukaryota; Metazoa; Arthropoda; Insecta; Coleoptera. The record is from RNAcentral.